This 30-nucleotide non-coding RNA is filed under the name Mus musculus (house mouse). The record is from RNAcentral. Lineage: Eukaryota; Metazoa; Chordata; Mammalia; Rodentia; Muridae.
UGGGAAAANCUACUAGCAAUGGAAGGUGUU